AUCCAGCUGACAAUUCCCAAAUAGGACGAAACGUGCGUCCUGGAU
Molecule: non-coding RNA, 45 nt
Filed under: Schistosoma haematobium
Lineage: Eukaryota; Metazoa; Platyhelminthes; Trematoda; Strigeidida; Schistosomatidae
Source: RNAcentral